Molecule: ribosomal RNA, 447 nt
Filed under: uncultured bacterium
Lineage: Bacteria
Description: partial 16S ribosomal RNA
Rfam family: Bacterial small subunit ribosomal RNA
Source: RNAcentral
CCUACGGGGGGCUGCAGUAGGGAAUAUUGGACAAUGGGCGAAAGCCUGAUCCAGCCAUGCCGCGUGAUAGAUGAAGGCCCUCUGGGUUGUAAAUAUCUUUUAUCUGGGAAGAAACAAUCUUAUUCUUAAGAUCUUGACGGUACCAGAGGAAUAAGCACCGGCUAACUCCGUGCCAGCAGCCGCGGUAAUACGGAGGGUGCAAGCGGGGUCCGGAUUCACUGGGUUUAAGGGGUGCGUAGUCGGUGGGGUAAGCCCCGGGCUUAACGUGGAAACUGCCAUUGAUACUGCCAGUCUUGAAUGUCGUAGAGGUAAGCGGAAUGUUGCAUGUAGCGGUGAAAUGCUUAGAUAUGUUACAGAACACCAAUUGCGAAGGCAGCUUACUAUGCGAUGAUUGACGCUGAGGCACGAAAGCGUGGGGAGCAAACAGGAUUAGAUACCCGUGUAGUC